UGAGAAAAUACUGGCAAGACCAACCACCCACACCUCCCUCCCCACACACACACACACACACACACACACACACACACAUUCAACAAACUGAAAACUGAAAAUCAUACGUGAACUGACACUGAGAAAAUACAGUGAUAACAAGUACGAACCCCAUAGAAACUACACACUAAACAUCUUUGUAAGUGAUGGGAAAUAAAAAGCAAAUCUGAUGCAAAUAGCUGCUCUUUUACAUACUUCAGUGUGAAGUUUAUCAGAAUAGUUUUUUCCCCUCACAGGCGAUCUCGAUUGCCUACAUUAACAAUCACCUAUAAAUUCUUCAAAAUGUGCAAUAUGUGGCAUGUAGUAUAGAGUAGAUGUAGUGCUAAAAACAAUUAAUCGCACAGAAAAUUAAUCACCAACAAUUUUGCUACUUGAUUUAUCGUUUAAUUUAUAUAUCAAGCACAUUGUGUAACAUUUGCAGUUUUCAGCCCCUUAAGUUUGUUAUAUCUAAACACAAAGAGAUGUACAAGAACGUCACCUAAAUAAAAUUAGCUACAUUUGACAAACUGUCUGAUCACAGAAUAAGUUGCUAAAAAGUAUGAAACUGACCAGACAUUUGAUUCGCCAACUUUGAUACUUAAAGAUACACAUUUGAGUACCAAAAAAAGUGCUGAUGUUUGAUACCUAAUUAAUGACCAGGUUUAGGAGCUUUUAAACAUGUCAGGACCUAAAAUGUCGGGAGUUAAGAAGCCCCACAGUGUUUUCAGCCCACUGACUGCCUGUCCCAUACAGUUUAAUCCUGUUCAACUUCGCUGCCUCGCUUUGUCAGAGUCACCGAUGCUUCAAAAAGCGUCAGGGACCCAUUACAGCUUUAUGUAAUGUUGCGGAGACAGGGACGUGCACACACAUAUACACACAGAUCCCUCCCACCCCCACUUUCUGUGAACAAGGGGGUUUUCUACAGCUGGGUAACAAAGCAUGACCCAAUAAUCCCAAAGCUUGACUCAAAGCUUAAGAAACCCCCCUUCCCUCCCUCCUCUUAUAUCCCUUCCGCCUGCUCUCUGAGGACUUUAUAAGGCUCUGGCAAGGAAGGCUUCUGGACGCACAUGUGUGUGUAUGUGGCAUGUAUGAGUUUUUUUUUGUUUUGUUUUUUUUUACAAAUACAAGCACGCUUAGCUCUGAUUAUUCUAAUUAUGAUUAUUAUGAACACAUGGGCUGAUGAGUUGUUCAAUCUGUCAGUAGUACGGUUAAAAGAGGCUGACAGACAAAGGCCUUUACUUAUAAUGUACGGGGGUGGAGGGCAUCUAAGAGACAUACCCCUCAGUUUAAUUGUUGGCACAUACACAGAUGUCUUCAAUGGUAAACAUUAUCAAUUUGUACUGAAAUGACUCUCUUCUCCAAAACAAUUUUAUUAUUACUCAGCUUGCUGAAGGUGCUGUUACACAUGCAAACUUUUAGGGCAAUGAAGAUCAGCAGCCAGAGACAAACAGAGUGAGAAACCAUGUCCAGCGUAUAUUCUAAUUGUCCCCUGUAAAUAAGAAAUGAUAUAAAAUGAAAAGAAAAAAUGAUAUCCCUCAUGUGGCUCCCUGUCUCAUUAUGGAAAUUAGAUUUUGUGUCGUUUAAUCUUUUCUUUUUCAUUGUGACAACAGUUGUCCUCCUCUUCUCACACACUCAUAGUCUGGUCUUAAACUUUCCGUGACCCAGACACUGAAUUUCUGCACAGCAGAAAAGCAGCAUCACACAUUUCCCACCUCCAUAGCACCAGAUCCCUUAUUACAUGACAAAACAUGAGCAAUUCCAGAUCUGGCUUUAGGCACACUGAUUCUGAGAAACCGUGACAAAAACAAGUCUAUAGAUGAGCAUGAGUUUAUAGGAACAGGACCUCCUGCUGGGCUUGUGAUAGCUGUGAGGAAUAACAAAAAAAAUAUUAUAUCUAAUGAUAGCCUAGCUUGUGAGCUCAUCGCUUUAGUGGUUUUAGUGCUCCCUGUUGUUUGCUGCAUCGUGAUUGUGUCAUUUAGAUUUUUCAUUGAAUCGAAUGUGAGGGGAAUUACUAUAAGAGUGCCUGAUUUGCCCAAAAUUGAUGGAUGUCUUUAAACUUUUAGGCCGGCAGUGGAAAAGAGCUGUUUCCGCUCACCUAAAGUCACAAACACAGGUGAGAGCUGCAUGACAACGCAGCAUCACUCAUCGUAACUUGAGACUGACAGAUGAUGACUCUGUCUUGACUACAGGCAAACCAAACUAAAUUAAAUUAAAGGUGUAAAUACACCAAAAAUAGUACUUGCUUUUGGUGUAUAAAUGUAGUUUGCAGCCCAUUCUAAACAAUUAAUAUGCACAUCAUGUGGUUCAAAACUUUAAUACCAGUUUCCCAGACUGCAAUGCCAAAUUUUAAACCAUGCACCAUCAACAUGCAUGUGUCAGCACGCAGCCUUGUCUCAUUCCUAAUCUCUCCGCAGCAAGUUCCUAUUACAAAGUACAUGAGAUACGUCCACCUCGCUUUCUUAAAAACAAGUACUGCCACUAUUUUAAGUGGCCAUUUUAUUAUGCCAUGUCAGGUGAAAGCAAUCUUAAGACUGUCAUUUACAGGUGUGUAACAUGAUCCUUAAUGAGUGCAUUGUGUAUGAGCGUGCUCGGUUGCCCAGCCUAUCUAAAUCCAGCCAUGAAAAAAAAAAACAAUUGUUCUCCUGUUAAGUCAGUCAGUGAGUGAACCUUGCACGGUAACUGGUUCCCAUGGUCUGCAAAGUGAAGAACAAGCUAAUCUUAUCUUGAUGUCACACAGCUAUUUAGCCCGUCUUGUGUUUUGUUGACAGAAAGACAAAAUCACGUGCCUGCCUGUUAUGACUGACCUUGGGAGAGAUUGGAAACGAUUCGCUGGUGAGGCAGAGAAGUGUUCUGGAUGCUAAAGAAUUAGAAGAUCAUGUUUUGGAGAUGAUAUGCAGUGUGAAAAGUCAACAACAAGGUCUGACUCAGGUGCAUCUUGAUCCUUUUCAGCGUCUGUGGAUACUUUGGUCCUUAAGGCUGCUAGCAGUUGUUCUUCCAAGGCCUGUCAGCUCUCCACUGGUGCAGAUAUUUCAUCAUCCUAUAGUGUGGAUCUGCGCUGGCUCAUCUCCUUCAGGCGUCAUCUUCCUGCAUGCCCACAGCCUGGGUUUCCAGAAACUACAGUAUAGCUGCCAUUUCCUUCUCAAAAUCUUUUUGGGCCAUUAAGAAUAUUGCAUUAAUACAUUCAAUAUGACACAGUGUCUGAAAUAUCCAUCAACUUUUUUUGUGCAUCAUGCAAUUAGUUUGUUGAAUAUAAGUCUUCUGGUAAUAGUGAGUCUUUUAUUUUAAAAGCCCAAUCUCUUAAUUUCCUGUCUCGUAGGCUACAUGUCUGUGUGACUUGAUGCAGCUGAGGAGGCAGAAAGAGCAACAGAGAGAAUGAGAGAGAAAGAGAAGGGGAGGGGGUCAGUAGAUUGAUGGGAGGUGGAGGAUGUUACACAUCACUAACCAACAUAAUAACAAAACACUCCAGUCUCCGAUCAGCAUGGCAUGCCAACUAACAGCUCCCUGAUCUGCUCUCUUAUAUUCAAUAUGCUUUAUUAUUUAAAUGAAUGGGUGUAAGCCAUUGAUGCAAAAGAAACCAUCUGACACAAUGUAAAAAAUCAUGGUGACAAUAAAAAACACAACAUACAUAAACCAAACACCAGUUAACCUAAUAAUAAAUAAUCAACAACAGUAAUAAGUAAUAAAUGAAAUAUAUAACAUACACAUACAUGCAAUCCUCCUAUUGCAGUUUUCCUGUAAUCUUUUAUUGCUGCAAAAUGUAUUUUAAGAUCAUUAACUUGCAGGAGUGAAAAAGUGUUGUUAUGACUCCUGCACUCUUCCUUUGACAUGACAGUAAAGUCCUUGACACAUGCACAUUUUACAUUGAAGCAGCUAAUGAUCCCAACUUCUCCUCAUGAAUACCAAAGUUACUGCUUUGCAAACUGAAUUCACACCAUUAUGUGUCCUAUACAUAUCAAUUACCUCAGGUCAGCGAAUACACAUUCAUUUGAAUUGGUGCAGUACGCAGCUGUGUGGCCGUUUCCCACAGCAGGACACACAGAGUUUGGAGCCAACUGCCAACUUAAUACUUCAUCCGAGGCUAUGCCUGAAUGUUAAAGACAUUCAAAGUAAUGACGCAACAUUGUGGGGCAAAAUCCACAAAGAAAAAGUACUUAGAAUAGAAAGGAAUACAAUAACACUGUGAUGUGCACAUAGUUAAUAGUAAUGUUAGUGCUUUUUAUGACAAUUACUAAGGUAUUGUGAAAAUAUGGUAAAGGGCUGUGUAUACUCAAUAGUGAUCUAAGUUUACAAUCAUUUUUAGGUAAAUCUACAUCUGUUUUGACUGUGAGAAUUUUUAAUAGUAUAAUAUCUGACCCUUAGAAGGCCAAGGUCCUUUUGGGGGCUCAAAGAAGAAUUUGUUGUGUUUGGCUGUGCAUGUUUGUGUAUAUUAAAUGUCUGUGUGUGCUUCAGUGUGUA
This is a long non-coding RNA of Siniperca chuatsi (mandarin fish), 4473 nucleotides long. RefSeq lists it as uncharacterized. The record is from RefSeq and is a predicted model, not a curated record. The transcript is spliced from 2 exons. NCBI's taxonomy places the organism in Eukaryota, Metazoa, Chordata, Actinopteri, Centrarchiformes, Sinipercidae.